RNAcentral lists this ribosomal RNA (405 nucleotides) under uncultured bacterium. RNAcentral describes it as "partial 16S ribosomal RNA". It matches the Rfam family "Bacterial small subunit ribosomal RNA", at positions 30 to 525 of the family's 1533-position model. The record is from RNAcentral.
AUUGAACGCUGGCGGCCGGCCUAACACAUGCAAGUCGAACGAGUGGCGGACGGGUGAGUAAUGUCUGGGAAACUGCCUGAUGGAGGGGGAUAACUACUGGAAACGGUAGCUAAUACCGCAUACCAUCAGAUGUGCCCAGAUGGGAUUAGCUUGUUGGUGGGGUAACGGCUCACCAAGGCGACGAUUCCUAGCUGGUCUGAGGGGAUGACCAGCCAAACAUGAACUGAGACACGGUGCAGACUCUUACGGGAGGGAGCAGUGGGGAAUAUUGCACAAUGGGCGCAAGCCUGAUGCAGCCAUGCAGGGUGUAUGAAGAAGGGCGUAGGGUUGUAAAGUACUUUCAGCGGGGAGGCGUUACCCGCAGAAGAAGCACCGGAUAACUCCGUGCCAGCAGCCGCGGUAAUG